UCCCGUCUUUCUUUCUUUCUUUCUUUCUUUCUUUCUUCUUUCCUUAUUUGCAUCCUCUAUAAUUCUUUUAAGAAGGCAGCCAGCAGCAGCAGCAAAAAGAAAA
This 103-nucleotide non-coding RNA is filed under the name Heterosigma akashiwo. The record is from RNAcentral. Lineage: Eukaryota; Raphidophyceae; Chattonellales; Chattonellaceae.